Molecule: ribosomal RNA, 2628 nt
Filed under: Vibrio cholerae
Lineage: Bacteria; Pseudomonadati; Pseudomonadota; Gammaproteobacteria; Vibrionales; Vibrionaceae
Description: partial 23S ribosomal RNA
Rfam family: Bacterial large subunit ribosomal RNA
Source: RNAcentral
GAUAAGCGCAGAUAAGGCAGUAAGAGCCGUUUGAGUCUGCGAUUUCCGAAUGGGGAAACCCAACUGCAUAAGCAGUUACUGUUAACUGAAUACAUAGGUUAACAGAGCAAACCGGGGGAACUGAAACAUCUAAGUACCCCGAGGAGAAGAAAUCAACCGAGAUUCCGGUAGUAGCGGCGAGCGAACCUGGAUUAGCCCUUAAGCACUCGGUGAAGUAGGUGAACAAGCUGGAAAGCUUGGCGAUACAGGGUGAUAGCCCCGUAACCGACGCUUCAUCGAGCGUGAAAUCGAGUAGGGCGGGACACGUGAUAUCCUGUCUGAAUAUGGGGGGACCAUCCUCCAAGGCUAAAUACUCCUGACUGACCGAUAGUGAACCAGUACCGUGAGGGAAAGGCGAAAAGAACCCCUGUGAGGGGAGUGAAAUAGAACCUGAAACCGUGUACGUACAAGCAGUAGGAGCACCUUCGUGGUGUGACUGCGUACCUUUUGUAUAAUGGGUCAGCGACUUAUAUUCAGUGGCAAGGUUAACCGUAUAGGGGAGCCGUAGCGAAAGCGAGUCUUAACUGGGCGCUCAGUCUCUGGAUAUAGACCCGAAACCGGGUGAUCUAGCCAUGGGCAGGUUGAAGGUUGAGUAACAUCAACUGGAGGACCGAACCGACUAAUGUUGAAAAAUUAGCGGAUGACUUGUGGCUAGGGGUGAAAGGCCAAUCAAACUCGGAGAUAGCUGGUUCUCCCCGAAAGCUAUUUAGGUAGCGCCUCGGACGAAUACUACUGGGGGUAGAGCACUGUUAAGGCUAGGGGGUCAUCCCGACUUACCAACCCUUUGCAAACUCCGAAUACCAGUAAGUACUAUCCGGGAGACACACGGCGGGUGCUAACGUCCGUCGUGGAGAGGGAAACAACCCAGACCGCCAGCUAAGGUCCCAAAGUAUUGCUAAGUGGGAAACGAUGUGGGAAGGCUCAGACAGCUAGGAUGUUGGCUUAGAAGCAGCCAUCAUUUAAAGAAAGCGUAAUAGCUCACUAGUCGAGUCGGCCUGCGCGGAAGAUGUAACGGGGCUAAGCAAUACACCGAAGCUGCGGCAAUAUCUUUUAGAUAUUGGGUAGGGGAGCGUUCUGUAAGCCGUUGAAGGUGAAUCGUAAGGUUUGCUGGAGGUAUCAGAAGUGCGAAUGCUGACAUGAGUAACGACAAAGGGGGUGAAAAACCUCCUCGCCGGAAGACCAAGGGUUCCUGUCCAACGUUAAUCGGGGCAGGGUGAGUCGACCCCUAAGGUGAGGCCGAAAGGCGUAAUCGAUGGGAAACGGGUUAAUAUUCCCGUACUUCUGACUAUUGCGAUGGGGGGACGGAGAAGGCUAGGUGGGCCAGGCGACGGUUGUCCUGGUUCAAGUGCGUAGGCUUGAGAGUUAGGUAAAUCCGGCUCUCUCUAAGGCUGAGACACGACGUCGAGCUGCUACGGCAGUGAAGUCAUUGAUGCCAUGCUUCCAGGAAAAGCCUCUAAGCUUCAGAUAGUCAGGAAUCGUACCCCAAACCGACACAGGUGGUCGGGUAGAGAAUACCAAGGCGCUUGAGAGAACUCGGGUGAAGGAACUAGGCAAAAUGGUACCGUAACUUCGGGAGAAGGUACGCUCUUGAUGGUGAAGUCCCUCGCGGAUGGAGCUGACGAGAGUCGCAGAUACCAGGUGGCUGCAACUGUUUAUUAAAAACACAGCACUGUGCAAAAUCGCAAGAUGACGUAUACGGUGUGACGCCUGCCCGGUGCCGGAAGGUUAAUUGAUGGGGUUAGCGCAAGCGAAGCUCUUGAUCGAAGCCCCGGUAAACGGCGGCCGUAACUAUAACGGUCCUAAGGUAGCGAAAUUCCUUGUCGGGUAAGUUCCGACCUGCACGAAUGGCGUAAUGAUGGCCACGCUGUCUCCACCCGAGACUCAGUGAAAUUGAAAUCGCUGUGAAGAUGCAGUGUACCCGCGGCUAGACGGAAAGACCCCGUGAACCUUUACUACAGCUUGGCACUGAACAUUGAACCUACAUGUGUAGGAUAGGUGGGAGGCUAUGAAGACGUGACGCCAGUUGCGUUGGAGCCGUCCUUGAAAUACCACCCUUGUAUGUUUGAUGUUCUAACUUAGACCCAUUAUCUGGGUUGAGGACAGUGCCUGGUGGGUAGUUUGACUGGGGCGGUCUCCUCCCAAAGAGUAACGGAGGAGCACGAAGGUGGGCUAAUCACGGUUGGACAUCGUGAGGUUAGUGCAAUGGCAUAAGCCCGCUUAACUGCGAGAAUGACGGUUCGAGCAGGUGCGAAAGCAGGUCAUAGUGAUCCGGUGGUUCUGUAUGGAAGGGCCAUCGCUCAACGGAUAAAAGGUACUCCGGGGAUAACAGGCUGAUACCGCCCAAGAGUUCAUAUCGACGGCGGUGUUUGGCACCUCGAUGUCGGCUCAUCACAUCCUGGGGCUGAAGUCGGUCCCAAGGGUAUGGCUGUUCGCCAUUUAAAGUGGUACGCGAGCUGGGUUUAGAACGUCGUGAGACAGUUCGGUCCCUAUCUGCCGUGGGCGUUGGAAGAUUGAAGGGGGCUGCUCCUAGUACGAGAGGACCGGAGUGGACGAACCUCUGGUGUUCGGGUUGUGUCGCCAGACGCAUUG